Molecule: non-coding RNA, 417 nt
Filed under: Salmo salar (Atlantic salmon)
Lineage: Eukaryota; Metazoa; Chordata; Actinopteri; Salmoniformes; Salmonidae
Description: Eukaryotic large subunit ribosomal RNA
Rfam family: Eukaryotic large subunit ribosomal RNA
Source: Rfam by way of RNAcentral
UGAAGUGGAGAAAGGUUCCAUGUGAACAGCAGUUGAACAUGGGUCAGUCGAUCCUAAGAGAUGGGCGAACGUCGUUCGGAAGGGAGGGGCGAUGGCCUCCGGCCGAUCGAAAGGGAGUCGGGUUCAGAUCCCCGAAUCCGGAGUGGCGGAGACGGGCGCCGUGAGGCGUCCAGUGCGGUAUCGCGACUGAUCCCGGAGAAGCUGGCGGGAGACCCGGGGAGAGUUCUCUUUUCUUUGUGAAGGGCAGGGCGCCCUGGAAUGGGUUCGCCCCGAGAGAGGGGCCCAAGCCCUGGAAAGGGUCGCGGUUCCGGCGGCGUCCGGUGAGCUCUUGCUGGCCCUUGAAAAUCCGGGGGAGAGGGUGUAAAUCUCGCGCCGGUCCGUACCCAUAUUCGCAGCAGGUCUCGAUCUAUAAGCCCA